UAACGCGUGGGUGACGUACCUGUUGGUGGGGAAUAACCGCCCGAAAGGGUGGCUAAUUCCGCAUAAGUCCUUCGGUUCAGUACUGGAGGGGAAAGCUUCUGGUCAAACAGAGGCGCCGAUGGAGCGGCCCGCGUCCGAUUAGCUGGUUGGUGGGGUAACGGCCUACCAAGGCGACGAUCGGUAGCUGGUCUUAGAGGAUGAUCAGCCAGACUGGGACUGAGACACGGCCCAG
Molecule: ribosomal RNA, 232 nt
Filed under: uncultured bacterium
Lineage: Bacteria
Description: partial 16S ribosomal RNA
Rfam family: Bacterial small subunit ribosomal RNA
Source: RNAcentral